CCUACGGGAGGCAGCAGUGGGGAAUAUUGGACAAUGGGGGCAACCCUGAUCCAGCAAUGCCGCGUGUGUGAAGAAGGCCUGCGGGUUGUAAAGCACUUUCAGUAAGGAAGAAAACCUCAGGGUUAAUAACCCUGUGGCUUGACAUUACUUACAGAAGAAGCACCGGCUAACUCCGUGCCAGCAGCCGCGGUAAUACGGAGGGUGCGAGCGUUAAUCGGAAUUACUGGGCGUAAAGCGCGCGUAGGUGGCUUGGUAAGUCGGAUGUGAAAGCCCAGGGCUUAACCUUGGAAUUGCAUUCGAUACUGCCUGGCUAGAGUAUAAUAGAGGAAAGUAGAAUUCCCGGUGUAGCGGUGAAAUGCGUAGAUAUCGGGAGGAAUACCAGUGGCGAAGGCGACUUUCUGGAUUAAUACUGACACUGAGGUGCGAAAGCGUGGGUAGCAAACAGGAUUAGAUACCCUGGUAGUCCACGCCCUAAACUAUGUCAACUAGCCGUUGGAGGAAUUUAAUCCUUUAGUGGCGCAGCUAACGCGUUAAGUUGACCGCCUGGGGAGUACGGCCGCAAGGUUAAAACUCAAANGAAUUGACGGA
Molecule: ribosomal RNA, 588 nt
Filed under: uncultured bacterium
Lineage: Bacteria
Description: bacterial SSU rRNA
Rfam family: Bacterial small subunit ribosomal RNA
Source: RNAcentral